This is an RNA transcript of Eriocheir sinensis (Chinese mitten crab), 5960 nucleotides long. It is a transcript of the gene named NAD-dependent protein deacetylase Sirt7-like, with no coding region annotated. Lineage: Eukaryota; Metazoa; Arthropoda; Malacostraca; Decapoda; Varunidae. The transcript has 8 exons. The record is from RefSeq and is a predicted model, not a curated record.
AACAUAUAAUGGGGCUGUAUUCUUUCAUAGCACACCCUCAAAUGGAAAAACAAAUAUCUUGAGCACUAAUGUGACUUCUUAAAUGGCAUAAACUCCCUCAGGUAUACUAAUAAGAAAGGAAAAAAUAUUAACAGCUACAAAAUGGAGCUCUCGCCUUCUAUAACUCCCUCGUGAAGGGUUUAGUCAAUGGAUAUAAAAAUACCACGAGCACAACAGACUUCUAUAUGGCUUAAACUCCCUCAGAUACAAUAAACAGAAAAGGAAAAAAGAGAAAUAACAGAUGAAAUAGCGAAAUCCCUGCCCAGUGUCCCGUUGCAGACAGUAAAUCCCCCUUUGUUCCUUGCCUAAGGUGACACAGGCUGACAUUUCCCCCUAGUUCCCCUCACCCAGGGGGAGGACACCCGCGGGGAGCCAGCAUGUCGUGCAGCUACGCCCAGGGGCUGAGCAAGUACGAGAACAAGGGCAAGCUCGGCCUGCCGGAGAGGUUUGACCCGGCAGAUGAGGUGGAGCGCAAGGCACAGAUCCUGGCCCAGUGGAUGAAAGAGUCCAAACACACCGUCAUCCACACGGGGGCUGGGAUCAGCACGGCAGCCGGGAUCCCUGAUUUCAGAGGCCCCAAUGGAGUCUGGACGCUGGAGAAGGAAGGGCUCAAGCCAGAGGUCAAUAUAUCAUGGGACGACGCGCGGCCCACACUCACGCACAUGGCCAUCGUCAGUCUGGAGCAGCAGGGCUAUGUCCAGUAUGUGGUGACCCAGAACAUCGACGGCCUCCACCUGCGCUCCGGGCUGCCGCGUCGGAAGUUGGCGGAGCUACACGGAGACAUGUUCGUCGACAAGUGUAACCUGUGUCAGAGGCAGUUCGUCCGAAGCUCAGCGGCCACAACCGUCGGGCAGAAGAGUGAGGGCAAGUCGUGUCCAGCCAGGCGGAGUAAUGGAAGGAGGUGUCGCGGGAAGCUGCACGACAACAUUCUGGACUGGGAGGACGGACUGCCUGACGCCGACCUUGGUCUGGCCAUCUCCAACGCCUGUGUGGCCGACCUGAGCCUGUGUCUGGGAACAACGCUACAGAUUGUUCCCAGCGGCAACAUUCCGGUGGACACCAAAAAGCGCGGCGGCAAGCUGGUGAUAUGCAACCUCCAGCCCACCAAGCAGGACCGACAUGCCGACCUCAUCAUCAACACCUACGUCAACGAUCUCAUGAAACGCCUCCUUGAGCUCAUGGCCGUCCCCCUCGUGGCUUACUCCCCCAAGGACGACCCUCUCAAGAUCACACAGCAACUCCUCCAAAACUCAAGGAUCAUUGGAAGGUCGGAAGAGGACGCGUUUGAGCCCAUAGAGUGGACCAUCCCGGAGGAGUGGGUCAAAGAUAACGACCUUGCCGAGAGGGUCAAGGCGAGGAAGGUCAUACGCAAGAGGCCCGGGGGGGUCAAAGAGGAGGUGGUGGAGAGGAAAAAGGUUAAAAAUAGUCAGGUUUCGAAGGUGGAGGAAAGAAUGGAGGAAGGGAAAGGGGAGGGAGAAGAGAGAGACAGUGUGAAUUGUAAAAAUGGAGAGAUGGCUGUGAAGAAGGAGGAGGGAGGAAUUAAGGAAGAAGCAGUUAGCAUAAAAGAAGAAGAGAAAGGAGUGAAAAUGGCAAAACAGGAGCUGGUGGAGAGAGCGGAAAAUGCGUGUGAUGAAAUAAAGAGAGAAGAAGAAGUGGUAAAGUCAAAAAUAGAGAAAGAAAAGAAAGUUAAGGUAGAAAAACAAGGGAUAGAUAGUUCGGAAAAUGACAAAAUGAAAGACAAGACGACGAAGGAGAAGGAGGAGGAAGAAAAUGGGAAAGCAUACAGCAACGGAAACACAGAAGACGAGAAAGAAGAAAACGAGGAAAUGGGUCCAAAAACACAUAACCAGGAGGAAAGGGAAGAGGAGGAAGAGAAGACAGGAGAGGACAAAACCUUCACCAACGGAAACACAAACGACGGAGAAGCGGAAACCGAUGAAAAUACCACAAAAACGGAAAAUACGAAAGUUAACGAGCGAGAGGAAGAGGACGAGAAAACAGAAACAAGCAAAUCAUAUACCAACGGAAACCAAAACAACGACAACGACGACGAAAUAAAAAUCGCUGAGAACGGAAGGACAGAAAAAUAUAGGAGCUCAAACCUAGACACAGGGAAGGGGGUGUCGGGAGGUCAAGCUUCAGAGGUCGCCGAGGAAGGGUCAACGUCGCCAGGGCAGGGAAAUGACCUCGACACAUGACAGAAGUGACAGGUUCUCGCACUGACCCAAGACAAGGAAAGGUCACGGCUGAGAGGAAAGGUCAGGUAGAGAAAAAUGACAUGAAGGUCACCAAUAACUUCCCACCUUCAAAUAUUAUGCCUCUGUUAUUUUAUUUUGACCUCUUAAUGGGAAAAAGGUCGCUAGCAACUUUUGACCUUCAGAAACUAUCCCUUUUUUUUAAAUGGAAAAUAAGGUCGCUAAUGACUUGACCUUUUAGAAAUUAUGAAGCAUUAUUUCUGUGGGACUUUUAUAUGGCAAAAAUAAGGUCACUAGCAACUUUUGACCUGAAAUUAUCCCUUUUUUUAAUGGAAAAUAAGGUCGCUAAUGACUUGACCUUUUAGAAAUUGUAAGUCAUUAUAUUUUUUUCUUUAAAUAGCAAAAAUAAGGUCACUAGCAACUUUUGACCUUCAGAAAUUAUACUUAUCAAUUUGGGGUCAUUCAAUUAAGUUAUUCAAGUUAUUUUAUUAUUUUAUGUAUUUAUUUAUUUAUAUUUUGCCCGAUAGCAUUUCUGGAAGUAACUACAAUCCUCUACUAAGCUGUAUUUUGAGGUUGCGUUCAUGGUCUUCAAAUUGAGUGUUUUCGAGCGAUUGUAAUUUCCGAUUCACUUCAGUUUGCUCUUCUGGAUUUAUCAUUUAUUUAUAUUUUGCCUGAUAGCAUUUCUGGAAGUAACUACAAUCCUCUACUAAGCCGUAUUUUGAGGUUGCGUUCAUGGUCUUCAAAUUAAGUGUUUUCGAGCGAUUGUAAUUUCCGAUUCAUGUCAGUUUGUUCUUCUGGAUUUAUCUAGUUAUUUAUAUUUUGCCUGAUAGCAUUUCUGAAGAUAACUUUAUUUUUUUACUGAAUAAUUACGUCUUAUUUUGAGGUUACAUUCACCACCAUCAAAUUAAGUGUUUUUUAAGGGGUUGCAAUUUCUGAUUUAUGUCAAUUUGAGCUCGUGGAUGUAUUUAUUUAUGUAUAUUUUGCCAACAGCAUUUCUGAAGAUAACUAUAUUUUUUUACUUGAUAAUUACGUCUUAUUUUGAGCUUACAUUCAUCAUCUUCAUAUUAAUUUCCGAUUCAUGUAAAUUUGUGUUUUUGAAUAUCCUAAUGAGUGAUUUUCAGUUCAGAUGGAGAGGAAAAGGGUUAGAAGUAGUUGAGUAUAGGAGAGAAUGGAGAGGAAAAGGGUUAGAAGUAGUUGAGUAUAGGAGAGAAUGGAGAGGAAAAGGAGGGUUGGGAAAAUGAGGAGAAGGUUGCAAAGAAGGAGGAGGAAGAGGAGAAGGCAGGAGUGAAGUCAACAUUGGUGAAGAAGGAAGAGAAAGUGGUUUAACAGUGCAAAGAAAAGGAGGAAGAGGAGAAGAUAGGAGGGAAGAGAAAGUGGUUUAACAGUGCAGAGAAAAGGAGGAGGAAGAGGAAGAGGAGAAGAUAAGAGGGAAGAGAAAGUGGUUUAACAGUGCAAAGACAAGGAGGAAGAGGAGAAGAUAAGAGGGAAGAGAAAGUGGUUUAACAGUGCAAAGAAAAGGAGGAGGAAGAGGAGGAGAAGAUAAGAGUGAAGAGAAAGUGGUUUGACAGUGCAGAGAAAAGGAGGAGGAGGAGGAAGAGGAGAAGAUAAGAGGGAAGAGAAAGUGGUUUAACAGUGCAAAGAAAAGGAGGAGGAAGAGGAGGAGAGAAGUCAAUGAGUGCAAAAAAUUAAGAGAAGGCAGUUUAUCUCAUUCACAUUUACCGUACAAUUAUUAAUUUACUUUUCCUUUCGUCUCCUUCGUCGUCUCAGCGUCAACAGGGAAAGGUUUAUUUGACUCCACUUUCGACAUUGUUUAUAAAGGGAUAUAUUAUGUAAGGAAGAAGAUAUGACAAUAAUUAAUUGACUCGGAGCAUCAACUGCCACGCGUAAUGGUAAAACACACACACACACACACACACACACACACACACACACACACAGAAUCUCAUCUCACACGGAGUAGGAAUAUGACUGCAUGUACAUCUAUACACAUAAACUUGCUUGUGUACAUAAACUUAGGGUGUGUUUUGAGAGUGUGUUUCCAUCCUUCCAACGGGUUCACAUGUAUCCUUCUUAUGUCUCCUGUUUGUCAGUUAUUCUUCCUCUUAUUCUUUAUUUUUUUUCAUUUAGUUUGUUGUUCGUUUGUUGUAUUUCUUUCAUUUUUAUUCCUGUCGUUUGUUAAUCCUUCCUUUUGUUUGUAUUCCUGUUUGUUGAUUCUUCCUUUCUUCCCUUUCAUUUUUAUUCCUGUUUGUUAAUCCUUCCCUUCAUACCUUUCAUUCUUGUUCAUCAUCAUUUCAUUGACGCCUGCUCCUAGGAGCUCCCACCAGGGGAUGGCCACGGCAGAAGAGCUUCCAACUUUCUCUGUCCAGACACUCCCUCCUUGCCUGCUCAAAGUUUCUCAAAGAUCUUUCACCCCUCUCCCUAACGUACUCUUGCACCCUAACCCUCCAUUUCACUGGAGGUUGUCUUCUAGCAUUCCCUCCCUCUAUCUCACUCACAUACAUCCUUCUGGUCAUCUUACUCUCCUCCAUUCGCUCCAGGUGGCCAAACCACUUUAAAGUCUGUCACUUCACUUCUUCACCCCAUGUGACACAUUCCAAAACACUCAUACACACUUUCAUUACUCAUUCCAUCCAUUCUACUCACACCACAAGCACUCCUCAAAUAACUCAUUUCCACUGCCUGCACUCUAGACCUCUGACUUUCAUUCCAGGCCCACGUUUCACUUGCAUAUGUGAGGGUUGGUACUAUUAUUGUAUUUCUCAAAUCCCUCUUUACCUCCAUGCUCACACUUCUGCCAUUCAUGAUUCGUCCCAAAGACCCUACCACCCUUCUUCCUUGCAAUGCCCUAUCUCUUGUCUCUCCCUCCAUGCCACCAUGCUUACACAUUACGGAUCCAAGGUACUUAAACUCAUUGACCUCCUCCAUUUCUUCACCAUUCAAAAAUAUUUUGCAUUCUUUUUCACAUUCAAUUCCCACUCUAUAUGGGCAUACAAAAUCUACAACCUCACUUCUACUUCGCUCACAAACCAUCACCUUACUUUUGUUGACAUUUACUUUCAGCUUUCUCCUUUUACAGACACUAUCAAAAACACUGACCAAAUUUUGUAAGUCACUUUCAUUUUCUGCAUUUUCAUUCUUAUUCCUUUCCGUUAAUUCACCAGACACAACAGUAGUUUCCCCAUAUUGUUUUAGCUCCCCAUUGGCAUUUCCCAGUUUUCUUCUUUCAACAUAACACAAGAACUCGCUGGGAACGUUGGGCGGCCACUCUCAAACACCGCCUACCUACACGUGUACGCAUUUGACAUACACACAUGGUGGCUGCCUGGCUGUGUAUGUAUAUAGACAGUGGGGAAGGAAUGAGUGCUGGCCAAUGUUCAUUCCCCACCAGACUGUGAUAAAGAGAUCGGACUGUCCAUUGCUGUACCCUCACCUAUUCUUAGACAGCGAAAAACUCAAGCUCGUAUUUUUAAAUGUAUUGUCGCCUCAGUUCGCCUGUUUGAAAAGCCUCUCGGAGAAGUUGCUGGGCUUUUCAUGGACUGUUUGUGAUCCUUGUGAUAGUUUUACUCGACUUCUGCACCAUGAAAAGGAGAAACGCCCAUUAAAACCCGGUUAGUCUUCUCUCUGGCCUUGGAAAAUAGUCGCACUGGGAGCAUGAUACAUUUAAGAAUAUGGGCAUCACACACACACACACACACACACACACACACACACACACACACACACACA